AGCGAACGCUGGCGGCAGGCCUAACACAUGCAAGUCGAACGAACCUUUCGGGGUUAGUGGCGGACGGGUGAGUAACACGUGGGAACGUGCCUUUAGGUUCGGAAUAACUCAGGGAAACUUGUGCUAAUACCGAAUGUGCCCUUCGGGGGAAAGAUUUAUCGCCUUUAGAGCGGCCCGCGUCUGAUUAGCUAGUUGGUUGAGGUAAUGGCUCACCAAGGCGACGAUCAGUAGCUGGUCUGAGAGGAUGAUCAGCCACAUUGGGACUGAGACACGGCCCAAAAUCCCACGGGGGGAAGGAGGGGGGAAUUUGGGGAAAGGGGGGAAAGCCUGACGCAGCCAUGCCGGGUGAAAGAAGAAGGGUUUAGGUUUGAAAAAUUCUUUCCCCGGGGACGAAAAUGACGGUACCCGGAAAAGAAGCCCCGGCUAACUUGGU
Molecule: ribosomal RNA, 433 nt
Filed under: uncultured bacterium
Lineage: Bacteria
Description: partial 16S ribosomal RNA
Rfam family: Bacterial small subunit ribosomal RNA
Source: RNAcentral